RNAcentral lists this unclassified non-coding RNA (379 nucleotides) under soil metagenome. RNAcentral's name for it is "partial contains 5.8S ribosomal RNA, internal transcribed spacer 2, and large subunit ribosomal RNA". The stretch from base 1 to 120 matches the Rfam family "5.8S ribosomal RNA", at positions 35 to 154 of the family's 154-position model. The record is from RNAcentral.
GAUGAAGAACGUAGCGAAAUGCGAUAAGUAAUGUGAAUUGCAGAAUUCAGUGAAUCAUCGAAUCUUUGAACGCACAUUGCGCCCGCCAGUAUUCUGGCGGGCAUGCCUGUUCGAGCGUCAUUUCAACCCUCAAGCCCCAGCGGCCUGGUGUUGGGGACCGGCGACCUCGCCCGAGCCCGCCCUCCGGGGCGCGUGCCCGGUGCGUCCGCCGCCCCCGAAAUGAAUUGGCGGCCUCGUCGCGGCCUCCUCUGCGUAGUAGCACAACCUCGCAAGCGGGAGCGCGACGCGGCCACUGCCGUAAAACGCCGAACUCUUUUAGAGUUGACCUCGGAUCAGGUAGGAAUACCCGCUGAACUUAAGCAUAUCAAUAAGCGGAGGA